This 253-nucleotide ribosomal RNA is filed under the name uncultured bacterium. RNAcentral describes it as "partial 16S ribosomal RNA". It matches the Rfam family "Bacterial small subunit ribosomal RNA", at positions 524 to 776 of the family's 1533-position model. The record is from RNAcentral.
UACGUAGGGUGCGAGCGUUGCCCGGAUUUAUUGGGCGUAAAGGGCGCGUAGGCGGCUCUGCACGUCCGUUGUGAAAUCGCCCGGCUCAACUGGGCGGGGUCAGCGGAUACGGCGGAGCUUGAGCAAGCUAGGGGGCAAUGGAAUUCCCGGUGUAGUGGUGGAAUGCGUAGAUAUCGGGGAGGAACACCAGUGGCGAAGGCGGUUGCCUGGGGCUUGCUGACGCUGAUGCGCGAAAGCGUGGGGAGCGAUCCGG